Molecule: long non-coding RNA, 2983 nt
Filed under: Ornithorhynchus anatinus (platypus)
Lineage: Eukaryota; Metazoa; Chordata; Mammalia; Monotremata; Ornithorhynchidae
Description: lncRNA (ENSOANG00000046028.1)
Source: RNAcentral
GGCUCCCGGGGCCCACAGGUCCCGGCCUCCCCUUCCCCUGGGCCUCCAAACCCUCAGAGCCGGCUCCCGGGGCCCACAGGUACCGGCCUCCCCUUCCCCUGGGCCUCCAAACCCACAGGCUUAGCCCCCGGGGCCCUCAGAUCCGGGCCUCCCCUUCCCCUGGGCCUCCAUACCCUCAGGUUUGGCCCCCAGGCCCUCAGGUCCCGCCCUCCCCUUCCCCUGGGCCUCCAAACCCUCAGAGCCGGCUCCCGGGGCCCACAGGUUCCGGCCUCCCCUUCCCUGGCCCUCCAAACCCUCAGAGCCGGCUCCCGGGGCCCACAUGUCCCGGCCUCCCCUUCUCCUGGGCCUCCAAACCCACAGGCCUAGCCCCCGGGGCCCUCAGAUCCGGGCCUCCCCUUCCCCUUGGCCUCCAAACCCACAGGUUUGGCCCCCGGCCCCUCAGAUCUGGGCCUCCCCUUCCCCUGGGCCUCCAAACCCUCAGAGCCGGUUUCCGGGGCCCACAGGUCCCAGCCUCCCAUUCCCCUGCGCCUCCAAAUCCUCAGGUUUGGUUUCCGGGACCUCAGGUCUGGGCCUCCCCUUUCCCUAGGCCUCCAAACCCUCAGGUUUGGUCCCCAGGCCCACAGAUCCGGGCCUCCCCUUCCCCUGGGCCUCCAAACCCACAGGUUUGGCCCCCGGGCCCUGAGAUCUGGGCCUCCCCUUCCCCUGGGCCUCCAAACCCACAGGUUUGGCCCCCAGGCCCUCAGAUCUGGGCCUCCAAACCCACAGGUUUGGCCCCCGGCCCCUCAGAUCUGGGCCUCCUCUUCCCCUGGGCCUCCAAACCCACAGGUUUGGCCCCCGGGCCCUCAGAUCUGGGCCUCCAAACCCACAGGUUUGGCCCCCGGCCUCUCAGAUCUGGGCCUCCCCUUCCCCUGGGCCUCCAAACCCUCAGAGCCUGCUCCCGGGGCCCACAGGUCCCGGCCUCCCCUUCCCCUGGGCCUCCAAAUCCACAGGCUUAGCCCCCGGGGCCCACAGGUCCGGGCCUCCCCAUCCCCUGGGCCUCCAAAUCCUCAGAGCCUGCUCCCGACGCCCACACGUCCUGGCCUCCCCUUCCCCUGGGCCUCCUAACCCACAGGUUUGGCCCCCGGGCCCUCAGAUCCGGGCCUCCCCUUCCCCUGGGCCUCCAAACCCUCAGAGCCGGCUCCCGGGGCCCACAGGUCCCGGCCUCCCCUUCCCCUGGGCCUCCAAACCCACAGGCUUAGCCCCCGGGGCCCUCAGAUCCGGGCCUCCCCUUCCCCUGGGCCUCCAAACCCUCAGAGCCGGCUCCCGGGGCCCACAGGCCCCGGCCUCCCCUUCCCCUGGGCCUCCAAACCCUCAGAGCCGGCUCCCGGGGCCCACAGGUCCCGGCCUCCCCUUCUCUUGGGCCUCCAAACCCACAGGCUUAGCCCCCGGCGCCCACAGGUCCCGGCCUCCCCUUCCCCUGGGCCUCCAAACCCACAGGUUUGGCCCCCGGGCCCUGAGAUCUGGGCCUCCCCUUCCCCUGGGCCUCCAAACCCACAGGUUUGGCCCCCGGCCCCUCAGAUCUCGGCCUCCCCUUCCCCUGGGCCUCCAAACCCUCAGAGCCGGCCCCCGGAGCCCACAUGUCCCAGCGUCCCAUUCCCCUGGGCCUCCAAAUCUUCACGUUUGGUCCCCGGGACCUCAGGUCUGGGCCUCCCCUUACCCUAGGCCUCCAAACCCUCAGGUUUGUCCCCAGGCCCACAGAUCCGGGCCUCCCCUACCCCUGGGCCUCCAUACCCUCAGGUUUGGCCCCCGAGCCCUCAGAUCUGGGCCUCCAAACUCACAGGUUUGGCCCCCGGGCCCUCAGAUCUGGGCCUCAAAACCCACAGGUUUGGCCCCCGGCCCCUCAGAUCUGGGCCUCCCCUUCCCCUGGGCCUCCAAACCCUCAGACCCGGCUCCCGCGGCCCACAGGUCCCAGCCUCCCCUUCCCCUGGACCUCCAAAUCCUCAGAGCUGUCUCCCGGGGCCCUCAGAUCCGGGCCUCCCCUUCCCCUGGGCCUCCAAACCCACAGGUUUGGCCCCCGGGCCCUCACAUCUGGGCCUCCAAACCCACAGGUUUGGCUCCCGGCCCCUCAGAUCUGGACCUCCCCUUACCCUGGGCCUCCAAACCCUCAGAGCCUGCUCCCGGGCCCCACAGGUCCCAGCCUCCCAUUCCCCUGGGCCUCCAAAUCCUCAGGUUUGGUUUCCGGGACCUCAGGUCUGGGCCUCCCCUUACCCUAGGCCUCCAAACCCUCAGGUUUGGUCCCCAGGCCCACAGAUCUGGGCCUCCCCUUCCCCUGGGCCUCCAAACCCUCAGAGCCGGCUCCCGGGGCCCACAGGUCCCGACCUCACCUUCCCCUGGGCCUCCAAACCCUCAGAGCCGGCUCCCGGCGCCCACACGUCCCGGCCUCCCCUUCCCCUGGUCCUCCAAACCCACAGGUUUGGCCCCCGGGCCCUCAGAUCUGGGCCUCCAAACCCAUAGGUUUGGCCCCCGGCCCCUCAGAUCUGGGCCUCCCCUUCCCCUGGGCCUCCAAACCCUCAAAGCCGGCUCCCGGGGCCCACAGGUCCCAGCCUCCCAUUCCCCUGGGCCUCCAAAUCCUCAGGUUUGGUUUCCGGGACCUCAGGUCUGGGCCUCCCCUUUCCCUAGGCCUCCAAACCCUCAGUUUUGGUCCCCAGGCCCACAGAUCCGGGCCUCCCCUUCCCCUGGGCCUCCAUACCCUCAGGUUUGGCCCCCGGGCCCUCAGGUCCCCGCCUCCCCUUUCCCUGGGCCUCCAAACCCUCAGAGCCGUCUCCCGGGGCCCACAGGUUCCAGCCUCCCCUUCCCCUGGGCCUCCAAACCCUCAGAGCCGGCUCCCGGGGCCCACAGGUUCCAGCCUCCCCUUCCUCUGGGCCUCCAAACCCUCAGAGCCGGCUCCCGGGGCCCACAGGUCCCGCCCUCCCCUUCCCCUGGGCCUCCAAACCCACAGGCCUAG